GACGAACGCUGGCGGCGUGCUUAACACAUGCAAGUCGAACGGUGAAGCACCUUCCUUUUGGUGGGUGUGGAUGAGUGGCGCACGGGUGAGUAACACGUGAGUAACCUGCCCCCUUCUUCUGGAUAACCGCAUGAAAGUGUGGCUAAUACGGGAUAUUCUGGGUCUGUCGCAUGGCGGGCCUGGGAAAGAUAUUGUUUCGGUGGGGGAUGGGCUCGCGGUCUAUCAGCUUGUUGGUGGGGUGAUGGCCUACCAAGGCGGGGACGGGGAGCCGGCCUGAGAGGGUGGACGGUCAAGCUGGGAAUGGGACACGGCCCCGACUCCGACGGGAGGCAGCAGUGGGGAAUAUGGCACAAUGGGCGCAAGCCUGAUGCAGCGACGCCGCGUGAGGGAUGGAGGCCUUCGGGUUGUAAACCUCUUUCGCCAGUGAAGCAGGCCUGUCCCUUUUGUGGGUGGGUUGACGGUAGCUGGAUAAGAAGCGCCGGCUAACUACGUG
RNAcentral lists this ribosomal RNA (493 nucleotides) under uncultured bacterium. Its description in RNAcentral is "partial 16S ribosomal RNA". It matches the Rfam family "Bacterial small subunit ribosomal RNA", at positions 28 to 507 of the family's 1533-position model. The record is from RNAcentral.